RNAcentral lists this ribosomal RNA (532 nucleotides) under uncultured eukaryote. RNAcentral's name for it is "bacterial SSU rRNA". It matches the Rfam family "Eukaryotic small subunit ribosomal RNA", at positions 1129 to 1671 of the family's 1831-position model. The record is from RNAcentral.
UCGCAAGGCCGAAACUUAAAGGAAUUGACGGAAGGGCACCACCAGGGAGUGGAAUCUGCGGCUUAAUUUGACUCAACGCGGGAAAACUCACCAGGUCAGGACACGGUAAGGAUUGACGGACUGAAGGCUCUUUCUCGAUUCCGUGGAAAGUGGUGCAUGGCCGUUUUUGGUUGGUGGAUCGAUCCGUCUGGUUAAUUCCGUUAACGAACGAGACCUCGGCACUCCGAAUAGCGCGGCGGACGUCGCGGCCUCCGGGCCGUCUUCCGCACGAGCUUCUUAGAGGGACCGUCCCCCGCCGGGGAAGGAGGUGCGAGGCAACGACAGGUCUGUGAUGCCCUUAGAUGUUCUGGGCCGCACGCGCAUUACACUGACGCGUCCAACGGGUGACUCCCGACCCGAAGGGGCCGGGGAAUCCGCAAGGCGCGUCGUGAUGGGGAUUGAACGUUGCAAUUGUUGUUCACGAACGAGGAAUUCCUAGUAGGCGCGGGUCAUCAACCCGCGCCGAUUACGUCCCUGCCCUUUGUACACACCG